GUCAUUUGGACUGUCAAUCGUGAGAGAGUAUUAUAUGAUCAACCAAGAAUGUUGAAUUCUUCAGGAACCUUAUUUAUGAAGUUUCAACUUUCAACAUCUUCACACACACAUUUAUCGUAGAAAUCUACUUUUUAAAAAAAAAAAACCCUGAAACUUAACCAACUAAAACCCAAAUAGUACAUGGGCUUAACUAUAGCCCAAUAACCUUUUUAAUAAGCCACACGGCCCAACUUCUCUUUGCUUUGUUGCCUUUGCUUGUCUUCUUCGACUCUUCUUCUCCGACAAAGGAGGCGCGACGCCGUCUUUUCUUCUUCUUACCAGACUUGGGUCAGGGAUAGUUUAAUCAGCCAAUACUGCAGAAAUCAUCUCGCCUUGGAUGCUAUUGAUUUCAGAAUCAACUGCAUUUGUAUGAAUCAGAAAGGACUUUAUUGAUCUUAUGAGGAGCUUAAGUAAUUGGGCAGUGGUGAAUGAUGAUAACCCAAAAAAGAAAGAUUGGAUGAUAAAGACAUGAAGAAAGUUUUAUAGUUUGUGUCUUGUGUAGAAUGGCUGCUCAAGUGGUCUAUAUAGUUUGGAAAGAAACAGAUAGGGAUUAUCAGGUAUUUUUGGAUGGUCUUGGCCUUGGGAG
RNAcentral lists this small RNA (625 nucleotides) under Arabidopsis thaliana (thale cress). RNAcentral's name for it is "putative long intergenic non-coding RNA". Lineage: Eukaryota; Viridiplantae; Streptophyta; Magnoliopsida; Brassicales; Brassicaceae. The record is from RNAcentral.